AUGACACUCAAAUUAGAGCUAUCAGAGGAAGAGGAGAAGAUCUUCCUACGGCUUCUUGAUGUCGUCCGUCACUACCGCCUUGGCACUACGCUUCGCGUCGCCGGUGGCUGGGUCCGGGACAAGCUACUAGGGAAACAACCUACUGACAUUGACAUUGCCCUUGAUAAUAUCACGGGCCAGGAUUUCUCCAAGAAAGUAGAUGCCUACCUAAAGCUCAUAGGGGAGGGGGACAAGAAACGAGGAACCAAAGUUAUCCCGUGCAAUCCGGACAAAUCCAAGCACUUAGAAACUGCUAAGACGUACAUGUUCGACAGAGAAAUUGAUUUUGUUAACUUGAGGUCUGAAAAAUAUGCAGAAAGCAGCCGCGUUCCCACCAUGGAGGGCGCCACUCCUGAAGAAGAUGCCCACCACAGGGACCUAACAAUUAAUAGUUUAUUCUUCAACAUCAACGACAACAUUGUGGAAGAUUUUACUAAAAGAGGUAUUGACGAUCUCAUCAAGGGCCUUAUUGACACUCCUCUAGAUGCCAAAGUUACCUUCUUGGAUGACCCACUUAGAGUUCUUCGGGCAAUUCGAUUUGCCGCUAGAUUCAACUUUACGUUAUCCGAUAGGUUGAAAGAAGCUGCUUCGGACGAAAAGGUGAAGUUGGAACUUGCUUGCAAGAUCAGCAAAGAACGUGUUGGGAAGGAGAUUGAUCUUAUGAUGUCAGGUGAACACCCAGUCGAUGCAAUGUCUUACAUUCGUGAUCUGGGGCUAUUUCAUAUUGUAUUUGCUUUACCCAAAAAUUGCAGCCCUCCAGUUUUUGACAAUUGUGAUCGGUGUUGUGUUUCACACAUUGAAUCAGCUUGGAACUUUGCAAUUUCAGUGCACGGCGGUGUUUCUCAUCGCAUGCUGCUGGAUGAACAGGAAAAGCUUUACCUCUAUAGUGCACUCUUUUUUUCCCUCCGAAAGAUGUUCUACUUGAUUAAAACAUCUAAGAAGAGUGCUGUCACUAGCUAUAUUAUUCAGGAAUCAUUAAAGCUGCCAGCAUGUGUUGCUAAAUCGGUUCUCGAUGUGCAUGUUGCCAGUGGAAAGUUUGCUGAUCUAGUGCUCCUCUUUGAAUCAAAUGUCGCUUCGCGAGCUGUCAGGGAGGAGGUGAAAGAUGUAUAUCAUGAUAUACCAAUGGACAUAUGGAAGCGUGUUUAUGCAGGAGUCGUACUUAAUGAAAUAAAGGACUUAUGGCAGGUGGCACUUGCUAUAUCCAUCAUCUUUUCUCCAGAAAUUGAAAAUGCUGGCGGCACAAUGAGCCAGCAGCAGGAUGAGCUGCAUCGGAGAAAAGAGCAGUACACGAGAGUUGAGUGUUCCAUAACUGAUCUAGGUCUCAGUGAGGUGUGGAAAUUGGAGCCGUUGGUCAAUGGCAAGAUCAUAAUGCAAAUUAUGCAGAAGUCAGAAAGUCCACUGAUCGGAGAAUGGAAAAGGCGUGUGUUCAAGUGGCAGCUUGCGCAUCCUGAAGGAAGCAGGGAUGACUGCGUCGAUUGGUUGACAGGAUCGCAAUUGAAACGCUAG
Molecule: ribosomal RNA, 1545 nt
Filed under: Triticum aestivum (bread wheat)
Lineage: Eukaryota; Viridiplantae; Streptophyta; Magnoliopsida; Poales; Poaceae
Description: partial small subunit ribosomal RNA
Source: RNAcentral